RNAcentral lists this long non-coding RNA (489 nucleotides) under Mytilus galloprovincialis (Mediterranean mussel). The record is from RNAcentral. Lineage: Eukaryota; Metazoa; Mollusca; Bivalvia; Mytilida; Mytilidae.
UCUACGACAAACUAUGUUAAUUAAAUUCAAAAUCAGAUGACAGUUAUUGAAAGGACAAGGUAUGAUAAUCGUGUUUCUUUUUGUGGCUCCUGGAAUUCUAAAUAAAACAUGGUGAACACUCUACCAUCUAGUGCUGAUGAAUAAAUAAAGGCAACAGUAGUAUACCGAUGUUCAAAAUCAUAAAUCCAUGGACAAAAAACAAAAUCGGGGUAACAAACUAAAACUGAGGGAAACGCAUUAAAUAUAAGAGGAGAACAACGACACAACUCUACAUUGUAACACACACAGAAACGGACCAAGCAACAGACAAAAUCCCAAGAGAAUAACAAAUAUAACAUCAAAACCAAAUACAUGAAUUUGGGAUAGACAAGUACCGUGACACGUCUUAUCGCAAUGUGAAUUUACACUCAAAAAUAAGAGAAAACAAACGACGCAACGUUAAAAUGUAACACAUACAGAAACGAACUAUAAUAUAACAAUGGCCAUAUU